GAUGAACGCUGGCGGCGUGCCUAAUACAUGCAAGUCGAGCGAACGGACGAGAAGCUUGCUUCUCUGAUGUUAGCGGCGGACGGGUGAGUAACACGUGGAUAACCUACCUAUAAGACUGGGAUAACUUCGGGAAACCGGAGCUAAUACCGGAUAAUAUUUUGAACCGCAUGGUUCAAAAGUGAAAGACGGUCUUGCUGUCACUUAUAGAUGGAUCCGCGCUGCAUUAGCUAGUUGGUAAGGUAACGGCUUACCAAGGCAACGAUGCAUAGCCGACCAGAAAGGGUGCGCGGCCACGCUGGAACUGGAGGACGGUCCGGCCUCCUACGGGUGGCAGCAGUCGGGAAUCUUCCGCAGUGGGCGAAGGCCUGACGGAGCAACGCCGCGUGAGUGAUGAAGGUCUUCGGAUCGUAAAACUCUGUUAUUAGGGAAGAACAUAUGUGUAAGUAACUGUGCACAUCUUGACGGUACCUAAUCAGAAAGCCACGGCUAACUACGUG
RNAcentral lists this ribosomal RNA (497 nucleotides) under uncultured bacterium. RNAcentral describes it as "partial 16S ribosomal RNA". It matches the Rfam family "Bacterial small subunit ribosomal RNA", at positions 28 to 507 of the family's 1533-position model. The record is from RNAcentral.